Molecule: ribosomal RNA, 552 nt
Filed under: uncultured Glomus
Lineage: Eukaryota; Fungi; Glomeromycota; Glomeromycetes; Glomerales; Glomeraceae
Description: SSU rRNA
Rfam family: Eukaryotic small subunit ribosomal RNA
Source: RNAcentral
UUGGAGGGCAAGUCUGGUGCCAGCAGCCGCGGUAAUUCCAGCUCCAAUAGCGUAUAUUAAAGUUGUUGCAGUUAAAAAGCUCGUAGUUGAACUUCGGGGUUCACCCAUUGGUCAGGCUUAAUUGUCUGUACUGGUGAGAUAAAUCUCUACCUUCUGAGGAACUUUCAUGCCAUUUAUUUGGUGUGAUUGGAAAUCAGGACUGUUACUUUGAAAAAAUUAGAGUGUUUAAAGCAGGCUAACGUCUGAAUACAUUAGCAUGGAAUAAUGAAAUAGGACGGACUGAUUCUAUUUCGUUGGUUUCUAGGAUCACCGUAAUGAUUAAUAGGGAUAGUUGGGGGCAUUAGUAUUCAAUUGCCAGAGGUGAAAUUCUUGGAUUUAUUGAAGACUAACUACUGCGAAAGCAUUUGCCAAGGAUGUUUUCAUUAAUCAAGAACGAAAGUUAGGGGAUCGAGGACGAUCAGAUACCGUCGUAGUCUUAACCAUAAACUAUGCCGACUAGGGAUCGGACGAGGUUAAUUUUAUAAUGACGCGUUCGGCAGCCUUACGGGAAAC